UUCUACGGGGGGCAGCAGUGGGGAAUAUUGCACAAUGGGGGGAACCCUGAUGCAGCGACGCCGCGUGAGUGAAGAAGUAUUUCGGUAUGUAAAGCUCUAUCAGCAGGGAAGAAGAUGACGGUACCUGUUUAGAAAGCUCCGGCUAACUACGUGCCAGCAGCCGCGGUAAUACGUAGGGAGCAAGCGUUGUCCGGAAUUACUGGGCGUAAAGGGCGCGUAGGUGGGUGCUUAAGUCAGGUGUGAAAACUCUGGGCUCAACCUGGAGACUGCACUUGAAACUGGGUAUCUUGAGGGCAGGAGAGGAA
Molecule: ribosomal RNA, 305 nt
Filed under: uncultured bacterium
Lineage: Bacteria
Description: bacterial SSU rRNA
Rfam family: Bacterial small subunit ribosomal RNA
Source: RNAcentral